UGUAGGAAGGGGAGGGGCCUAUUUCAGAUUGAAGGUGAGCUGAUUACAGAGCUCCGUCAGAGAAGAGGACCGUUAACAUCGAGGAGAGAGUCCGUCCUCUCUGCUGUCUGACCGGGUACUCUGAGAGAGCUGUGGGUCUGUUUUUGGAAGCACCGUGGUGGAAAGGUGGUCAUGGAGUUCAACAGGAUUGUGGGCAAGAACCUCAAGCAGGAAUUCUAUGAAAGCAUCAAUCGGCACAGACUUCGUCUUAUCGAAAUAUUCAGAUCCAAGAGCGGGAACAUUGGGCAGCAGUUGACACAGCCUUUACAACAGACCAAGACUACAGAGCCAACUGCUGUUCGGACAAUGGUGUCAGAAGGCUUCCCAUUGUCCUUGGUGAAAACCCCACAGACUUCUACAGAGCAGCUUUUGAUGAUGAUGAUGACUCAUUCCGCCACAUCGAGAUUGGAAUCCUCCAGGUUGAGCCUGAAGGUGCUGCGGUUGCAUCUUUCCUGCAUCUCAGUCCAGCCUCUUUGAAGGUCAUCAUUGAGGGAGAAGUUGUGAUGGACAAAAUUAAAGACCUACCUAAAGCGAUGUGCCUUCUGUUUGGACUUUCAUAUGCACUGCAUCUCAACUACCCCAAGUCUAUGAAGUUCACAUUCCAGUUCAUCCAACAGGUACCUCUCACAUUGGGCCAGAGUGAACUAAAACCAAGGUUACAAACCUUGAAGAACCAGCUUGCAAUGUAAAGAAAUGCUAUGUUGAGACUACUGUGACUGUGUGCUGC
Sebastes umbrosus (honeycomb rockfish) is the source of this 766-nucleotide long non-coding RNA. RefSeq lists it as uncharacterized. NCBI's taxonomy places the organism in Eukaryota, Metazoa, Chordata, Actinopteri, Perciformes, Sebastidae. The transcript has 7 exons. The record is from RefSeq and is a predicted model, not a curated record.